CACAAUGGGCGAAAGCCUGAUGCAGCAACGCCGCGUGUGCGAAGAAGGCCUUCGGGUCGUAAAGCACUUUUCUGGGAGAUGAGAAAGGACAGUAUCCCAGGAAUAAGUCUCGGCUAACUACGUGCCAGCAGCCGCGGUAAAACGUAGGAGGCGAGCGUUAUCCGGAUUCACUGGGCGUAAAGCGCGUGCAGGCGGUUUGGUAAGUUGGGCGUGAAAGCUCCCGGCUCAACUGGGAGAGGUCGUCCAAAACUACCAGACUAGAGAGCGAUAGAGGAAAAUGGAAUUCCCGGUGUAGUGGUGAAAUGCGUAGAUAUCGGGAGGAACACCAGUGGCGAAGGCGAUUUUCUGGAUCGUUUCUGACGCUCAGACGCGAAAGCUAGGGUAGCAAACGGGAUUAGAGACCCCGGUAGUCCUAGCUGUAAACGAUGUGAACUUGGCGUUGGUGGCUUAAACACCAUCAGUGCCGAAGCUAACGCGAUAAGUUCACCGCCUGGGGACUACGGCCGCAAGGUUA
Molecule: ribosomal RNA, 514 nt
Filed under: uncultured Chloroflexota bacterium
Lineage: Bacteria; Bacillati; Chloroflexota
Description: bacterial SSU rRNA
Rfam family: Bacterial small subunit ribosomal RNA
Source: RNAcentral